Molecule: long non-coding RNA, 1933 nt
Organism: Pararge aegeria (speckled wood butterfly)
Lineage: Eukaryota; Metazoa; Arthropoda; Insecta; Lepidoptera; Nymphalidae
Exons: 3
Source: RefSeq, a predicted model, not a curated record
UAUUAUUAUUUUUGUUUAGAACUUUCCAACUUUCUGAGUGCACUGAUAAUAUCCAUAUCAACCCAUUACUACUUUGUUUUUUUCUAAAUGAAGAUGGCUGUGCCCAACUGUGGGUCAUUAAUAGGGUGAGAAUGAUUGUUAUAUAUUGGACUCUACUAAAGAGCCUUUCAAAAUGGAAAGCUGGAGAUUUGAGUCAUGUAGCUAUUGGACCCAAAUGUGGACCAAACAACACUUCACCUUUGACCCCUAUGGAAAAGCGUAUUAUUGAGAUAAUUUGAAGUGUAUAUAGAGGAAAAUACUAAAUUCCAAUAUCCUAUGAGAGUGUAGAGGAUACCACCCCAUGGUCCACAGAUGUUGAAAGCAAGAGACUGGAAAGUCAGACAUAAAUAAUAGAAGAAAUUCAAGGGGUCAAAUAGGCUGUGCAAGCAUAAACUAUUGCAUUGAACAGUAUAGGAGAGUUACUGUCAGGAUGGAUAGAAAAUUCUACUGCGCACUAACCACAGUCUUCCAUUUAAAUUAAGUAAUAAUUUUAAAUAUUUAAGUUGAUUGUUGUGUUGUAAACGUUUACUGCGGUUACUGUAGACUUCACUUGGAUAGGAUUUUCGAAUUCUUUUUUCAAACAACCAUUUUAGAGGAUAAAUACUAAACCAUGAAAUUGGAGCUCUUAUUUAAUUGCUGUAAUGACCUUCUUCCAGACAAACUAAACUCAAAUUAUAGCAUUGAAAUGUGAGCUUAAUGUCAUUUGGCAUUAAGUGUUGUUUAAAGUAAAAUAAAAGUCAAAUAUAUUUUAAAUUAUAAGUACUGUAUUACUUAAUAUUAUGUCUCCCUUGAUGCUAGCGGUGAUAUUAUCGGUGAUGCUUGAUGACGGUGCAGUGGGUAGGAGCUCGACUACUUCCCAUAAAGUGCCCGUGUCAGUUGGCUAUUUGAUGGAUUUUUUUUAAUUGUUACCUUUCUUCUAAAUUGUUUUUGUUAAAAAAUAAUAUAAAAAUGUAAAUACUGUUCAUUUUUUUAUAAAAUUCACAUAAUAUUUCGGAACCGACAGGAUUUGAACAUGCGUCUAAGCUACGGGUCUGAUGCCGCCGAUAUCGGAGUAUGCAUUUGAAAAAUAAAAUCGAUGUUUCCUCCAAGUGUAGAUAUAAACAAUUCAUUAACUAUUAUAAUAAAGUAAUGUGUCAUCUUCUGUCAAAAAGUUUCUCACUGGACAAAAAGGCAUAUACAAAUUUGGAUUAAGGUAAAGCAUACAGGCCGCGAUUGCAAGAGAGUCGUAGAUACAAACCAUGUCGAUUCGUAUAAAGCUGUAAUUUCCUUUUUAACAAAAAUGAUAAAACUUUGGGCAAUUAAGAUAAAAUAUACAACUUGGUGGCAUUAUCAUAUAGCGAUAUUAUCCAGGCGACUAAGCGUAAAAAAACCUUUAGGUGCAAAGAAACUGCUACAAUACAACACAUACCUUUUGUUAUCACCGAUUUUUGAUUGGAUGAAAGUUUAUUUGGGCGAUACUAAAUCGUACUGAAUCGUUUUUUUUUCCAUAGACAUCGCCUCAAUCAUUAGGCAUUCUAUAUAGGCCAUGACUCGUAAUAGUAGGUUCAUUUUUAAUAGUGACAAAAAAAAAAAAAAAAAAAUUGACAGAUUUUGAUAUAUCAUGAAUUAUAUUAGUCAUUCUUAACCCGGGUGGCUAGUUUGAGACUUUCUACCUAGGUUUACUUAUCGGAUUGCGUGGAAUCUUACAAUCAUUUUUUGGGCAUCGAAAGCGCCAUCUCGUUUGAAUACUGAGAAACGGUGUUUCCACUAGAUGGCGCUCUUUCCAGUAAAUCUAAAAGUCAAAGUCAAAGUCAAAUAUUUCUUUAUUUAAAUUGGCACAUAGAGGGCAGUUUUGGUGCGUUCAUGACAUUCAAAAUGUGUACAUAAUAGUAAGUAGUGAUGGCGAUACAUUCGU